CCUCAUGGUACCUAAAUUAGAAAUGUUUCCCACCUUUUUACUCCAAUUGCAAGUUUCCUGAGAAAUAUUUCCUGCUUCUUUACUCCAAUUACAAUCCCCAAUUGCAGAUUGAGAUUAAGUGCUUAACAAAAAUCUUCUUCCAAUUUUAACCCUAUUUCACCUUCGAAGUACCUAUGUGCUGUUCUGCCUGAACCAUCGUUUCCAACAGCUUCCGGAACCUUCAGAAAAUGCUGCCUCACGAGUCACUUCACUGGGUCUUCUUCUUCAUUUUCCAUCGCAACGACGCCCUCUACCACCAACUGAGUCGCUCAAUCAUCUGCUCUCUACCACUGUUGACGAUUCAAUUCACCACCUUACCACUGCAUCAUCUACUUCAGUUUCAUCUUCUCAAAAAUUUUACUCUCUGAGUAUUGGUUUAUAUGAAAGUAACACUGAUUUUCAAGAAGGUAAUGGUCACCAAGAAAAUAACUUUCAGUUCACAUAUGGAGAUAAAAGAUUAUUUUGAUUUCGGUGAUCCAAUUUCAAUUUGUCAAGAGUGUGGUGCUUUAAUAUGGUAUGAUGAAAGAAAUAAAAAAAAUAGAAAUUAUAUCAUUUCAGAGUUU
Molecule: non-coding RNA, 602 nt
Organism: Arachis ipaensis
Lineage: Eukaryota; Viridiplantae; Streptophyta; Magnoliopsida; Fabales; Fabaceae
Source: RefSeq, a predicted model, not a curated record